This 778-nucleotide ribosomal RNA is filed under the name uncultured Inocybe. RNAcentral describes it as "partial 28S ribosomal RNA". It matches the Rfam family "Eukaryotic large subunit ribosomal RNA", at positions 216 to 962 of the family's 3401-position model. Lineage: Eukaryota; Fungi; Basidiomycota; Agaricomycetes; Agaricales; Cortinariaceae. The record is from RNAcentral.
GAAUCCCGUCUUUGACAUGGACUGCCAGGGCUCAACAGGUGUGCUCUCGAAGAGUCGAGUUGUUUGGGAAUGCAGCUCAAAAUGGGUGGUAAAUGCCAUCUAAAGCUAAAUAUUGGCGAGAGACCGAUAGCGAACAAGUACCGUGAGGGAAAGAUGAAAAGAACUUUGGAAAGAGAGUUAAACAGUACGUGAAAUUGCUGAAAGGGAAACGCUUGAAGUCAGUCGCGUCAGCUGGAAAUCAACCCUGCUUUUGCUGGGCGCACUUUCCUGUCUGACGGGUCAGCAUCAGUUCUGGUCGCUGGAUAAAGUCCUUGGGAACGUGGCAUCCUUUGGAUGUGUUAUAGCCCACUGGCGCAUGCAGCGGCUGGGAUUGAGGAACUCAGCACGGCCCUUGCGAGAGGGCGAUUGGAGGGAGACCUCACAACUUACGUGCUUAGGAUGCUGGCAUAAUGGCUUUAAUCGACCCGUCUUGAAACACGGACCAAGGAGUCUAACAUGCCUGCGAGUGUUUGGGUGGAAAAACCCAUGCGCGCAAUGAAAGUGAAAGUUGAGAUCCUCUUCAAAGGGGGAGCAUUGACGCCCGGACCAGACCUUUUGUGACGGAUCCGCGGUAGAGCAUGCAUGUUGGGACCCGAAAGAUGGUGAACUAUGCCUGAAUAGGGUGAAGCCAGAGGAAACUCUGGUGGAGGCUCGUAGCGAUUCUGACGUGCAAAUCGAUCGUCAAAUUUGGGUAUAGGGGCGAAAGACUAAUCGAACCAUCUAGUAGCUGGUUCCUGCC